This 773-nucleotide ribosomal RNA is filed under the name uncultured Neocallimastigales. RNAcentral's name for it is "partial large subunit ribosomal RNA". It matches the Rfam family "Eukaryotic large subunit ribosomal RNA", at positions 19 to 645 of the family's 3401-position model. The record is from RNAcentral. Lineage: Eukaryota; Fungi; Neocallimastigomycota; Neocallimastigomycetes; Neocallimastigales.
CGAGCACGCGCGUGUGGCAUAUCAAUAAGCGGAGGAAAAGAAACUAACAAGGAUUCCCUUAGUAACGGCGAGUGAAGCGGGAAGAGCUCAAAUUUGAAAUCUUCAAGGUUCUACCUUGACGAAUUGUAGUUUAUAGAAGUGUUUUCUGUUAGUAGAGUGGCAAAAGUUCUUUGGAAUAGGACAUCAUAGAGGGUGAGAAUCCCGUAUUUGGUCAUUCUUUCUAGCUUUGUGAUACACUUUCAACGAGUCGGAUUGUUUGGGAACGCAGUCCAAAAUGGGUGGUAAAUUUCAUCUAAAGCUAAAUAUUGGCGAGAGACCGAUAGCGAACAAGUACCGUGAGGGAAAGAUGAAAAGAACUUUGAAAAGAGAGUUAAACAGUACGUGAAAUUGUCAAAAGGGAAGCGUUUGACACCAGUGUUGUUUUUCCGAAAAUCAAUUACGAAUGUUUUGUUUUUGAGGAGUUAUGACUUCAUCGGCUUGCUCCUUUCUUUACGAAACUUUCUUAAUGCACUUUUCGGUUAACAAGUCAACAUCAAUUUCUUUUGUUGUAAAAGGGUAUGAGGAAGGUGGCUUUCUUUUCGGAGAAAGUGUUUAUAGCCUUGUGCCUCUGCAAUCGGAGAGAUUGAGGUCUGCAGCGUAGAUCCUUCGGGGUUAGAUACGUUUGUGCUAAGUUAUAGCUUUUCAUAGACAACUUGUUGACUAUGUUAAGUCUUGUAGCUUACUCGCUUAUGCUAUUUUACCUACGCUUAGGAUGUUGAUGUGAUACUGCGAGC